GCGGGGCCGCGGGACCGCGGCGCUGCGGGCGCUGCGUGCCAGCCAGGGGGACGGGCCGCGCCCCCCCACUUCCGCUCCGCCGCUUCCGGUUUUCCCGCGUUGCCAUGGCAACGGCAGAGCCCGCGGGGUUGCUCAGUCCUGCCGUUGGCAAAAAAUGCUUCAAAGCUCCUGGGUGAGCGUGGUUGUGAGUGGCAGCGAGGGCAGCAGCUCUGCUCAGUGUGAGAAAGGAUGCUCUCUGGGAACUGCCAGGCCCUGUCCAGAUCCUCCACGAUCCCACCCUUGACCCUGCCUUGCCAGUGGAACUGCCCGGACAGACCUUGGACCUGUCUCAUCGCCACGGGCCAGCUGGGUGCUCACAGGCUGCAUCUGACCUGACCACUGCCUCCGGCCCUCGGCCUGGCCCAGCCGGGCAACUCUGUACCCGGCUCCUUGCUGGGGCGGUCACUGCCUGCGCCAGCCUUGCUACCAAGCUCGUCGUCCUUGUGGAGCAUCCCGCUCUCGCUGCACCCUGACACAUGGUGCAUUCUGGACAGGUUUACAGUAUGGCAAGUCUGUCUGUGGAAGCAGAAGCAACAAAGGAAUGAAUGCACUGAGAGGCAGAAAGAUUUGUGAGUAGAUCAAGGAAAUACUGGUUCUCAGAUACUCACAUGGCUUAUGUUGGAUGUUGGACUUUACACGAUAAAACCUGCUUACCAAUGGGAAACUAUGGCCAUCCCACAGGGACAGAGUUCAAUAGCUGUAUGUUCUGCAACAGGAUAAAAUGGAAUUGACUCCAAGAUUUUUCUUUUUAAAAAAAUAAAAAAGCUGCUUUAUGAGUUGA
Long non-coding RNA from Dromaius novaehollandiae (emu), 820 nucleotides. RefSeq lists it as uncharacterized. NCBI's taxonomy places the organism in Eukaryota, Metazoa, Chordata, Aves, Casuariiformes, Dromaiidae. The record is from RefSeq and is a predicted model, not a curated record. The transcript is spliced from 2 exons.